GGAUAUUGCGCAAUGGGCGAAAGCCUGACGCAGCGACGCCGCGUGGGUGAUGAAGGCCUUCGGGUCGUAAAGCCCUGUCGAGGGGCACGAAACGGUCUCGACCUAACACGUCGAGGCCCUGACGGUACCCCUACAGGAAGCACCGGCUAACUCCGUACCAGCAGCCGCGGUAAUCCGGAGGGUGCGAGCGUUGUUCGGAAUCACUGGGCGUAAAGGGCGUGUAGGCGGUCCGCUAAGUCUGAUGUGAAAGCCCGGGGCUUACCCCCGGAAGGGCAUUGGAAACUGGCGGACUCGAGUCCCGGAGAGGAAGGUGGAAUUCCUGGUGUAGCGGUGAAAUGCGUAGAUAUCAGGAGGAAUACCGGUGGCGAAGGCGGCCUUCUGGACGGUGACUGACGCUGAGACGCGAAAGCGUGGGGAGCAAACAGG
Molecule: ribosomal RNA, 426 nt
Filed under: uncultured bacterium
Lineage: Bacteria
Description: bacterial SSU rRNA
Rfam family: Bacterial small subunit ribosomal RNA
Source: RNAcentral